GAUUGUUCACCCACCAAUAGGGAACGUGAGCUGGGUUUAGACCGUUGUGAGAUAGGUUAGUUUUAUCUUACUAAUGACAAUGUGGCAAUAGUAAUUCAACCUAGUACGAGAGGAACCAUUGAUUCGCACAAUUAGUCAUCGUGCUUGGUUGAAAAACCAGUGGCGCGAAGUUACUGUGCGCUGGAUUAUGACUGAACACCUCUAAGUCAGAAUACGGGCUAGAAGCGAUGCAUGCACCCACCUCUCAUUUGCCGACCCGCAGUAGGGGUCGUCCAGCCCCCAAAGGCACGUGUCGUUGGUGAAGCCCGCUCGGCGGAUGAGCCGCGCGGGCCACCUUGAAGUACAAUUCCUAUCUCGAGCGGCGGGUAGAAUCCUUUGCAGACGACUUAUAUAGGCGACGGGGUAUUGUAAGUGGCAGAGUGGCCUUGCUACCACGAUCCACUGAGAU
Molecule: ribosomal RNA, 448 nt
Filed under: Camellia petelotii
Lineage: Eukaryota; Viridiplantae; Streptophyta; Magnoliopsida; Ericales; Theaceae
Description: partial large subunit ribosomal RNA
Rfam family: Eukaryotic large subunit ribosomal RNA
Source: RNAcentral